This 463-nucleotide ribosomal RNA is filed under the name uncultured bacterium. Its description in RNAcentral is "partial 16S ribosomal RNA". It matches the Rfam family "Bacterial small subunit ribosomal RNA", at positions 28 to 507 of the family's 1533-position model. The record is from RNAcentral.
GACGAACGCUGGCGGCGUGCUUAACACAUGCAAGUCGAGCGGAAAGGCCCCUUCGGUGGUGCUCGCGCGGCGGACGAACGAGUAAGACAUACGUAAUUUGCCCCCCCCUUUGGGUUAGCCAACGGCAACGGUGUUUAGUACCGGAUAUGUCCAUAUGUCGCCUGCCGGGUGGUGGAAAGUUUUUCGGUGAGGGAUGGGCUCGCGGCCUAUCAGCUUGAUGGUGGGGUAAUGGCUUACCAUGGCUUCGACGGGUAGCCGGCCUGAGAGGGUGACCGGUCACACUGGGACUGAGACACGGCCCAGACUCCUACGGGAGGCAGCAGUGGGGAAUAUUGGACAAUGGGCGGAAGCCUGAUGCAGCAACGCCGCGUGAGGGAUGACGGCCUUCGGGUUGUAAACCUCUUUCAGUAGCGACGAAGCGCAAGUGACGGUAGGUAGAGAAGAAGCACCGGCUAACUACGUG